AGCGAACGCUGGCGGCAGGCCUAACACAUGCAAGUCGAACGAACCUUUCGGGGUUAGUGGCGGACGGGUGAGUAACACGUGGGAACGUGCCUUUAGGUUCGGAAUAACUCAGGGAAACUUGUGCUAAUACUGAAUGUGCCCUUCGGGGGAAAGAUUAAUCGCCUUUAGAGCGGCCCGCGUCUGAUUAGCUAGUUGGUUGAGGUAAUGGCUCACCAAGGCGACGAUCAGUAGCUGGUCUGAGAGGAUGAUCAGCCACAUUGGGACUGAGACACGGCCCAAACUCCUACGGGAGGCAGCAGUGGGGAAUCUUGCGCAAUGGGCGAAAGCCUGACGCAGCCAUGCCGCGUGAAUGAUGAAGGUCUUAGGAUUGUAAAAUUCUUUCACCGGGGACGAUAAUGACGGUACCCGGAGAAGAAGCCCCGGCUAACUUCGUG
This 434-nucleotide ribosomal RNA is filed under the name uncultured bacterium. RNAcentral describes it as "partial 16S ribosomal RNA". It matches the Rfam family "Bacterial small subunit ribosomal RNA", at positions 29 to 507 of the family's 1533-position model. The record is from RNAcentral.